AGAGUUUGAUCCUGGCUCAGAACGAACGCUGGCGGCAGGCUUAACACAUGCAAGUCGAGCGCCCCGCAAGGGGAGCGGCAGACGGGUGAGUAACGCGUGGGAAUCUACCGAGCCCUGCGGAAUAGCUCCGGGAAACUGGAAUUAAUACCGCAUACGCCCUACGGGGGAAAGAUUUAUCGGGGUUUGAUGAGCCCGCGUUGGAUUAGCUAGUUGGUGGGGUAAAGGCCUACCAAGGCGACGAUCCAUAGCUGGUCUGAGAGGAUGAUCAGCCACAUUGGGACUGAGACACGGCCCAAACUCCUACGGGAGGCAGCAGUGGGGAAUAUUGGACAAUGGGCGCAAGCCUGAUCCAGCCAUGCCGCGUGAGUGAUGAAGGCCCUAGGGUUGUAAAGCUCUUUCAACGGUGAAGAUAAUGACGG
RNAcentral lists this ribosomal RNA (419 nucleotides) under Agrobacterium tumefaciens. RNAcentral's name for it is "bacterial SSU rRNA". It matches the Rfam family "Bacterial small subunit ribosomal RNA", at positions 8 to 457 of the family's 1533-position model. Lineage: Bacteria; Pseudomonadati; Pseudomonadota; Alphaproteobacteria; Hyphomicrobiales; Rhizobiaceae. The record is from RNAcentral.